GAUGAACGCUAGCGGCGUGCCUCAAACAUGCAAGUCGAGCGAGGCUAUGAAUUACCGCAAGGUAAGGCAUAGCCUAGCGGCGAACGGGUGAGUAACACGUGGGUAACCUACCUGGAAGACAGGAAUAACGAUUCGAAAGGGUCGCUAAUACCUGAUAAUAUCCAUCUGCCGGAUGGCGGAGGGAAGAAAGGGGAAACCCGCUUUCAGAUGGGCCCGCGUCCCAUCAGCUAGUUGGUAAGGUAAAGGCUUACCAAGGCGACGACGGGUAGCCGGUCUGAGAGGAUGUACGGCCACACUGGGACUGAGAUACGGCCCAGACUCCUACGGGAGGCAGCAGUUGGGAAUCUUAGGCAAUGGACGAAAGUCUGACCUAGCGACGCCGCGUGAGGGAGAAGGCCUUCGGGUUGUAAACCUCUGUCAUGGGGGAAGAAGGAAGUGACGGUACCCAAGAGGAAGCCCCUGCUAACUACGUGCCAGCAGCCGAGGUAAAAUGCGUACU
This 499-nucleotide ribosomal RNA is filed under the name uncultured bacterium. RNAcentral describes it as "bacterial SSU rRNA". It matches the Rfam family "Bacterial small subunit ribosomal RNA", at positions 28 to 531 of the family's 1533-position model. The record is from RNAcentral.